UUUGAAAACAUCCCAAUUCUCCUCCGAUUUGAGGUGUGAACCCCUUGAAGUUGGACGGUCCAGGUAGUUUAAAAGGGCAAAAGAGGUAACAUCAACAAUGAUAAUAAUAAUUUGUCUCUAAUAAUAAUCUAAAUUAGACCUCCAAUGUGGUAA
This is a long non-coding RNA of Hibiscus syriacus, 153 nucleotides long. RefSeq lists it as uncharacterized. The record is from RefSeq and is a predicted model, not a curated record. The transcript has 3 exons. Lineage: Eukaryota; Viridiplantae; Streptophyta; Magnoliopsida; Malvales; Malvaceae.